AACGACUCUCGACAACGGAUAUCUCGGCUCUCGCAUCGAUGAAGAACGUAGCGAAAUGCGAUACUUGGUGUGAAUUGCAGAAUCCCGCGAACCAUCGAGUCUUUGAACGCAAGUUGCGCCCGAAGCCAUUCGGCCGAGGGCACGUCUGCCUGGGCGUCACGC
This 162-nucleotide ribosomal RNA is filed under the name Rytigynia pseudolongicaudata. RNAcentral's name for it is "5.8S ribosomal RNA". It matches the Rfam family "5.8S ribosomal RNA". Rfam says of the family: 5.8S ribosomal RNA (5.8S rRNA) is a component of the large subunit of the eukaryotic ribosome. It is transcribed by RNA polymerase I as part of the 45S precursor that also contains 18S and 28S rRNA. Functionally, it is thought that 5.8S rRNA may be involved in ribosome translocation. Lineage: Eukaryota; Viridiplantae; Streptophyta; Magnoliopsida; Gentianales; Rubiaceae. The record is from RNAcentral.